This is a long non-coding RNA of Pseudoliparis swirei, 2403 nucleotides long. RefSeq lists it as uncharacterized. NCBI's taxonomy places the organism in Eukaryota, Metazoa, Chordata, Actinopteri, Perciformes, Liparidae. The record is from RefSeq and is a predicted model, not a curated record. The transcript is spliced from 2 exons.
GAAGAGAAGAGAGAAGAGGGUUGAGAUCAGGGCCGCGUCAGCAUUUUAGAUAUGCUGAGGUCACGAGGUCAGACAUUCACCCCAUCCAACCCAGGAUUUUCUUUUCAAUCAUUCUGUUUUUUAUUAUUUUAUAUUUCAGUCACAUAGUCAAUUAUAUCUGUUUUCUAAUUAGUUUUGUUGCUACACAAAAAAAUUAUUCAUAAACUAAAGUAUGUUAUGAAAUUAGGAAAUGAUUAGGAAGUUAAAAUUUUUAGUCAAAUUGGUUUUGCAAAUGUGAUACAAGUAGUCAAAUUAAAACACUGGAAAGAGCUUUUUAUAACAAUCACUACUAUGGGGUAACCAGGUUGCUAAAAGAGUAACAUUCCCAGAUAAAAUAGGACCUCAGUGUCCUCAAUGCAGCUGCUGCCCUGGUUAAGAAUCUAACUGAGUUUGGUUUCUGAGUAUUCAAUCAUCCAUUAUGCAUUUGGUUCAAUGUGAUGAAAUGUUUAAACACUUUUACAAAUGUAUAUUCUAUAGUUGUUUCCCUUUAUAUCUACUAGUUAGAUCUGUUUGUGUAUCCAGACUUUUACUUUGCUCUAUAACAGAGUUACUCAACAGGAGGCCCGCGGGCCGCAUCCGGCCCGCGGACGCUUAUUUUGUGGCCCCGACAUGCCUGGUUAUAAAUGCAUAAUAAUUAUAAUUAGCCAACCAAAAUCGUGUGAAAAUUAGGUAGUGCGCCUUUAAUUUAACCCUCUGAAAACGAAGCCCGCUACAGUGCGUUUUGACAGCUUUACGUUUUUAAAAUCUGUAUAUCUCCGCGACAAUACGUCGCCGAGAUACAUUUAAAAUACUGGAUGAAUCCGGAGGAUUUCCUCUUCCGUUCAUUUCUCUACCGUAAGCUCCUCUGCGAUUCACAGAGAAAGAUAGGGGGACGAACGUGUCGGGUGACGCGGCACCGAGUACUGUGAUUUGCCAAUGCGGUUGUCCGUCAACAUUUUGCGGAGAAGAACAACCAAUGAACACUCAAGAAAUCACAAGGACCUACCCACCUCCCAGGUAAUGCUCAUUAGCAGUCUGUCAGUCAGAGAAGCCAGAGAACACAGCGCGAACGGACUUCACAACAAGGAAGCAGCUGCAGCGACUUUGGCGAGCAGCGCGGAGCCUCAGAGGAGCUCCAGAGCCACGAGGAGGAACACGCAGCCAGAAGAGAUCCACUUGGACCGGAGAGGAUUCACCAGCACCUGCAGUGCAGCCUGCAGAUCCACCUGCAGCCCCACCUGCAGCUCUACCUGUCCGGCCAGCAAUGGUCUCGUGCCCCGGAGGACCAUGACACGAUGACAUGAUGCCAUUAUAGUGAAGCCAUAUUGUAAAUAUUCUGUAUCAAUAUUUGUGUUCUGUUUUCUAUUUCUCAACAUGAAUAUUAUGGAGAAUAUGUUUACUUUUUGUAAUGUAUAAUACAUUUAUUUGAAGAAGAAAAAAUGUAAAUGGUCAUUUUUUAUUUGCACACACCCCAUGAAACUUUAUCUGCAAUAUUAAGUCAUUUGGUUUUUGACAUCUUUACAUGUAUCUAGCAUUGUAUUCAGAUAUUUCACUGCUUUUGUGAACCCAUGACCUUUGGUAAACCAAUUUUAAACACCAAACAGUUGGUCCACAUGAGUAAAGGUGUGUUUUCAGAAGAGAUAUGAAGAAUUUUCAGCUUUAGGGCCAUAUUUUUUCUUUCCAAUUGUACCUGAGGUCAAUUCUGCCUCAUUAUAUAGAGAGCUGAGAUUGUUCUGGAAUUUUUGAUGUAUAACACAUGGGUAUGUGUCAUAUGCAAAAGCCUUUUAAAGGUGAAUUUAAUUUUGUUUGUAAAAUCGAGUCGAAAGGGCUGCGUUUGAGGAACAACUCAUAGAGCUGCAGCACAACAACAUCCUCAAAGAAAGACACAAGGAGGAGAGCAUUGACACAUUCUGGAUAUCCUGUGUUCUGAGGAACACAAACCCUGCAUUAAUCCUGUGUGCUCAGAAAAUCCUGACCUGCUUUGGAUCUACUUAUGUGUGUGAAAGCUCCUCUGCCAUGGGAAUAAUAAAAUCAAAGCAGCGUUCCCGUCUAAAUGACAGACAUUUGGCAGACUAUCUCAGAGCAGCUACAACUGAGCAACAACCAGAUCUGAAAGGACUUGUGAAAAGAAUGCACACUCAGAGCUCUCACUAGGAAUAAGUAAACAGUUGUUUGUUUUAUUGUUAUUGUUAUUAAUAUUUGUGAAAUGCAGACUCAGAGCUCUCACUAGGAAUAAGUAAACAGUUGUUAGUUAUAUUGUUAUUGUUAUUAAUAUUUGUGAAAUGCAGACUCAGAGCUCUCAAUAGGAAAAGUAGCAAUUGCAAACUUUAUCAAUGUCAUCAAUGCAAAGCUAUUCACUCCAGUGUUAAUAAAACAUCAGCUUGA